Molecule: long non-coding RNA, 269 nt
Organism: Lepidothrix coronata (blue-crowned manakin)
Lineage: Eukaryota; Metazoa; Chordata; Aves; Passeriformes; Pipridae
Exons: 3
Source: RefSeq, a predicted model, not a curated record
GAAGGAGGUAAACAGAAGAACAAGAUAAGUGCAUUCUCUAUCAGAGUAAAAGGAAUUUGACAGCUCAUUCAGAGUAAGAAGAUUCUCUUGCUGAGCAGGAAUAAUUCUCCUUUUGUCUUGGCCCCUGCACUGGUAAUUGGAGAGAGCGAGACAAGCAAAGAAGAAAAAAAAUUGGUUUCUUCAUCAGAGAAGAACAUUUGAAGGUUCCCUCCUCAGAAGGCCAGUGUAAAGCUGUUGUGUCACUUCAAUACCUCUUAGCCCUGCAAGGU